GUCAUCAGCAGGUUGUGUUGUUGAAGCUGAGUGUUGUAGAGUCAUCAGCAGCAGGUUGUGUUGUUGAAGCUGAGUGUUGUAGAGUCAUCAGCAGCAGGUUGUGUUGUUGAAGCUGAGUGUUGUAGAGUCAUCAGCAGCAGGUUGUGUUACUGAAGCUGAGUGUUGUAGAGUCAUCAGCAGCAGGUUGUGUUGUUGAAGCUGAGUGUUGUAGAGUCAUCAGCAGGUUGUGUUGUUGAAGCUGAGUGUUGUAGAGUCAUCAGCAGGUUGUGUUGUUGAAGCUGAGUGUUGUAGAGCCAUCAGCAGCAGGUUGUGUAACUGAAGCUGAGUGUUGUAGAGUCAUCAGCAGCAGGUUGUGUUGCUGA
This is a long non-coding RNA of Austrofundulus limnaeus, 362 nucleotides long. RefSeq lists it as uncharacterized. NCBI's taxonomy places the organism in Eukaryota, Metazoa, Chordata, Actinopteri, Cyprinodontiformes, Rivulidae. The record is from RefSeq and is a predicted model, not a curated record. The transcript has 4 exons.